GACGAACGCUGGCGGCGUGCUUAACACAUGCAAGUCGAACGGUGAAGCGCCGUCCUUUUUGGUGGGUGGGGAGGAGCGGCGGACUGGUGAGUAACACGUGAGUAACCUGCCCCCUUUUUCUGGAUAACCGCAUGAAAGAGUUGCUAAUACGGGAUAUUCUGGAUCUGUCGCAUCAUGGGUCUGGGAAAGAUAUUGUUUCGGUGGGAGAUGGGCUCGCGGCCUAUCAGCUUGUUGGUGGGGUGAUGGCCUACCAAGGCGGUGAGGAGUAGCCGGCCUGAGAGGGUGGACGGUAACGGUGGGGAGGCGACGCGGACAAGCCUACGACGGGCGGCAGUAGUGAAGAUUAUUGAAAGGUGGGAGGAAGGAUGAUGCAGCGACGCCGCGUGGGGGAUGGAGGCCUUCGCGUUGAGCACCUUUUUCGCGAGUGAAGCAGGGUUGCAUCGUGUGUGGGUGGGUUGACGGUACCUGGAUAAGAAGCGCCGGCUAACUACGUG
This 494-nucleotide ribosomal RNA is filed under the name uncultured bacterium. Its description in RNAcentral is "partial 16S ribosomal RNA". It matches the Rfam family "Bacterial small subunit ribosomal RNA", at positions 28 to 507 of the family's 1533-position model. The record is from RNAcentral.